This is a long non-coding RNA of Cavia porcellus (domestic guinea pig), 3494 nucleotides long. RefSeq lists it as uncharacterized. The record is from RefSeq and is a predicted model, not a curated record. Lineage: Eukaryota; Metazoa; Chordata; Mammalia; Rodentia; Caviidae. The transcript is spliced from 4 exons.
GAGGAUUCAGAGCAAAGUUUUCCUCACCUGCAAGUCACUCCUUAGUGCAGAGAAGCCCUUGCUGCCAGGUCUUAUUUACUGCAUAACAUGCAAGAGAAGCUUUAAAAAAUAAUACUGUAACCCAGGCUCUGUCUCAGACACACAGAACGAGAGAUUCCAGACGUAGAACCUUGAAAUCUGUAGCAGCAACAACAAAAGUCUCCAGGUCUUGUAUGGAAUGAACUCUGAACUCUACAGUCUUGCCCUGGAGAAUACCUUCUGGAAGCCAGGCCGACAGUGGGAUGUGUCUAUUUACCUUCUUUGCCGAGAAAGAAAGCCUGAAAGCACGGAGAAGGAGUCUCCUGCCGGAAUGCUGACAAGAAGAUUUUACAAGAGUAUUUCACUGCAUUUUCACAUACUUAGAUUACUAAAGUUUGGGUAAACAAAUAAAAGGCAAAAAAAGAAAAGAAACAAAGAGAAAGUGCUGAAAUGACUUCUGUCUGUGAUGAAUCCACAUAUUUGGAGUUUGGAGUGUGUUUGUGCAACCAGCACUACUCUUAAUAGAAGAAAAUAGAAGAAGAGUCUCCUUAUACAUCUUAAAAAUAAUCUGGAAACUGAAAGCUAGUUUUAAGAUGACUUAACAAUGGAAUAAUUAAUUUUUAUUUGUUUACUGACUUAUUUUGUCUUUUGGAGACAGGAUCUCCCUAUGUGGUUCAGGCUAGCCUUGGGUUCACUUUGUAGCCCGGGCUGGUCUCGAACUAACAAUGAACUUCCUGCCUCAGCCUUCUGGGUGCUGGAACUACAGGAGUGGGCCACCACGCCUGGCUGGGAUAAUUCAAGCGUUCUUUCCUGAUCACCUGUGUUUUACACUUUGUACUGAUCUCAGCAGCGAUUACUGUAUCCUGGGUAUGGGGAAGGAGCAAUUCAAUAGUAAACUCUGCCGAGAGUCCUCAAUGCAAAAACUAACUGUGGAGCUGAGUUGGCCACUGGGAAGUAAAGAAGGAAGGAAAGGAAGCCUUUCUGUUUAAGAGAUGGUGCUGGGGAUAAAGGGAGCCGAGGGUGAAACGGUAAGGUCUGUAUGGCUUGAUUUUCUUCCCCUCAGUCCCUUGACUCUGGAAUAGCUAAGGAAAAGCAAAUCAGAAAUCUGUGUGUAUCUUCUGUAUUUCCAGAGACUCCCACAACAGCAUACAGCCUCCCCCUCAAGCGCUGUGAAGGCCAACUAAAAGGUCAAGCCUCUUAGCCUUUAAUUUUAAUUGCAUCAUCUAAAUUAAUCUGCGUUGCAUGCUAAUCAGCAGCUCCAUUUGAGAAUUAUAUAUGGCAUUGAUUUCUAAUGAUAAGAAACAUAAACCCUGUCACUUAUUAAAAACAGUUUGGUAGACAAAAGUUCUUUCUAAGAUGGGAUGGAGGAAGAAGAUGUAAUGGAGUAUGUGAGGUUUUCACAUGAUCUUCUCUGCCAGUGACACAGCAAACCUUUUAGAGCUGUCAAUGAUAAAAGCCUGCAGGAGACCCAUGACAUAGGUUCACCACCGCAGUCUUAUGCCUUUUGGAAGCAGGACAUCCACUGCCAUGCUUGGGUUCUGCAUCUUGCUGAGAAUCAGCUGGAAUAAUAGAUCCCCAUCUUUCAGGCAACACUGCCUGUGAGUUCCCUUCACUCUUUCUUACUCUUUAGCUUUUAUAUACAUGUUUCACUCAUGUCUCCUCUUUGAGAUACAGGAAGCAAGAAUGUUUGCAGUCCUCUCUCGCUUCUUAAAAUAAUCAUAUUUCAGUAAAGUUAAUGAGAACUCAGAGCAGUAUCCAAGCACACUAAAUAAAAGGUUUCAUCUUAGGGUAAGGAAUCUAGGGCCACCUUCCUAGGACAAAGUUGCUGUGUCUUCUGAAUUACAACUCAAUUUAGUGACAUCUGUGGAUACUUACGAAAUGUAAGAUAUGGGGCCCAACUUUCAUUUUCAAUGAAAUGAAACAUUUCGAGAAGAGAGACCAGAUGGCUUUGGUGCCCCUUUAUCUUUUCUCCUCACUGUUUCACAACUUUUUCUAAAUAGCAGUAGUAUUUGGUUUUGACUAUAAUGCCAGCAAGCUCAUUACUUUUCCAUCUAUGUUGUCAUCUCUGUAAUGCUGGUUUUUUUUUUUAAUCUGUAAGAUUAGAGUGAACAGUGAUGCCCUUCAAGGCUUCCAUGAAAGUAAAAUGAAGUGAUGCAUCUACAACACAGAGCACACAUUAAGUGACUGCUGCUCACGAGGGUGGCCAGGAGGAGUGCUGGUGACGGCUUAAAUCCGAAAUGAGCACAAUCAGGUGCACAUUUUUUUCUCUUACUGUUAUCAGUUUUGUGAUCUCAGGCUAGUAACCUCUUAGGACUUCUCUUCCCGGUAUGUCAAGUGAAAAUAAAAUUUAUUUAUAGAAUAUAUGUGAAAAAAAUUGAUAGUUAUAUGGGAAAGGCCCAGCACAAUGCCCAGACCAUGGAAUCAGAAAUGUUCUCUCUUCCAUUCUGGGUGGUGAGAAAUCUGGAAACAGAGAGUUCAUGGAAUGAUUUGUUAUUGUAUCUGCAGUAUGUAAGGCACAGCUUGGAACCUCGGAGGCCCAUAAUAUUUACAGAACUGAAUUGAAUUUUUAAAAUACCUAUGGAGUUAAGCUUAUUCAUUCAUUGCGUAGACUGCCUAGUGACUCGGUCCAAGAUUUUUCAAAUAAAGAUACAUAUAGAUUUGAAGCAUGAGAUAUCUGGAAAAUCAAGACCCAGUUUCCAGUGGUCUGUGAGCUCAUCAUGCUGUGUUGCACCUAAAUCCGGGGUCGUUAGUGUCUGCAUCAUGGGCAUCUGCUGCGGAAGUUGGAUGAUCUCUGUCCUAGGGCUCAGAUGUAACAUGAAUUGGCAGCAUACCAAAUGCCUGCUUAUUAAUCUUUGGUUCCACCGGGCAAAUUCUUCUUACUCAUCUAGUUCUGUACUCCACGCUUGGAUUCCAUGGUGUUCUGACUCACUUAUGAGUGCAGGGUAUGAAAUGCUUCCCUAAUCAGUUACGAGACCACUUAUGGCUCCAGAGAUGAUCACAGCUAAAGAAGACUGGGUGACCAGCUCAACCAACUGACAGUGAAGGAUAGGCAAUAGGCGAAUCUUGGUGUUAGAGUUCUCACUACUGCCCAUCUGUUGCAGGGUGCAUUCUGAGUAAGAAUCUGGGCAAGGAAAUCUACUUUGGACCCAAGGAUGUAGAAUUAACAGAAAAUUGAUGUCUUCCGAUCCCCUCCUUUUUUUAUCACUAUCCCAAAUAAACUUGCAGUAUAUUCAUUCCUUGGUCAGUGGGAUUGUUCCCAAGACUGAGCUAUUGCAGAUUGUGCUGCUGUAAACAUGCAUGCACAUAUAUCACUGUGAUAUAGUGUUUCCAAUUAUUCUGGGAAGAAACCCAGAAGGAGUAUAGGUGGGUUUAAUGGGACCUCUCACCCUAGUUUUUUGAGGAAUCUCCAACACUGAUUUCCACAGUGGUUGCACCAGUCUGCACUUCCACCAACAGUGAAAAAGGAUUUCUUUUUC